This is a long non-coding RNA of Helianthus annuus (common sunflower), 1850 nucleotides long. RefSeq lists it as uncharacterized. NCBI's taxonomy places the organism in Eukaryota, Viridiplantae, Streptophyta, Magnoliopsida, Asterales, Asteraceae. The transcript is spliced from 4 exons. The record is from RefSeq and is a predicted model, not a curated record.
AAAAAAACCCUUGGCGGGCUUUGCGUCCCCCCACUUGACCUCUCUUUUCCCAAUCAAAAUUUUAACAUUCUCCCUAAACCUAAUUUAUCUCUCAUUCUCUUCACACACACACACAGAUUCUAUCUAGAGAAUCUUCUUCAACUCAACUCAUAUAUAUAUAUGUAAAUUGAACUUCAACUUAUAGCGGUGCAAGUGACGGUGAAGGCCAGAAAGCAUCAUCGGUGGCGUCUCGGAGGAUUCCGCCGGCGUCUUCUAUGCUGUGGGUCCGUAACCUCUGCCUACAUCGGUCUUGUCAUGGGUAUGGCCGAUUGAUGUCUUCCUCAAAAUUUGUAGGAAAAUAUAGCUUGAAUCAAGCUUUUACGAGCUUAGGAACAAACCGAAGUUGAAGUGAAUGAUCUCUAAUUAAUCGUCACACAAUAUCUGCAAUCCAGGGGUGCUAAGGUGCUUUUUCCCUGUCUUUUUUUUCAUUGACUAAAGGCUGACACUCAAUUUUUAUGCCUAUUAUGCCCUUGCCUCUUAUUGUUGGGUUCACGCUACUUCUGUUGCAAUUGGUAAAUUUAGGUAUGGGUCGGACCCAAAACAUUGUUGAUGAUAAUGUUAAUAACUAGAGGAGGCAAAUCUGACCCAAAACUAUCAUAUGGGUCAAUUUUAACCAUUUAAAAACUAUAAGUGUCAAAUAAAUUAGACAAGGGGGUCACUUAAAAAUUGAUUAUUAUGUGUGUCUCAUGUUGAUUAUUGUGGAGACAACUCCCAUCACAACUUAAUGUAUUAUCAUCAACAAUGCAAUGCAAUGCAAUGUUCAGUUCAAUUAUGGUGAAUUAACGGUAAUUAGGUUUAAAUCUAGAUUAAGGUAUGCUUUUAUUCACUUCUUUUUUGUAUUUUGUUUCUGAAACUAGUGCUACACAAUAGAGCAAAAUUGAUAUCAGAUUUGCAAAAAUAUAAUGACAAACAUGAAAAUAAGAGUGUCUUUUGUUCAUUUUCUUUUACUGAGUUUUCUGUGUUUUGCUUUAGUUAAAGCAAAUUAAAUGUUUAUAUAAAAGAUAUACUUUGGUAGUUUAGCUGGUGUUUCUUAAGACGGGUGGUACGAAUGUACGGUAGCUCGUUAAGUUCAUAUCAGUUGUUUAUUUUGCGCAAAAUAUUACAAGUUGCUUACUCGCUUAUAGAGGUUGACUGUGAAUCUUUGUAUCAUUUAAUGUACCUUUUGGUGAACCGAUGUAUUGAUAUGGAUAAAGAAAUUUCUUGGUACCUAACAUGAUGCUUUUAUAUCAUUUAGUGUAUCCAGUUUUGUAUAAAAAAAAACCGACCCGACCCGCCCUGACCCGAAACCCGUUCCAACCCGGACCUGUUCCGACCCGACCCAAUCCGACCCAUUUGCCAGGUCUAUUAAUAACGGUGUCACGAUUGGGGUGGUGGUGGUGGUGGAUGGGAAUGUGGUUAGUGGUUUGAAAGCUUUGUAUGCAGUGGAGUUAAAGGAUAAUGGGGUUGGCACUAGGGGUUGUACCGAUUGGCAUCGCGGCGGGAUUUAUUUACAUCAUUGAAAAGGAUUUUUCAAGUACCUGGUGUGGGAAAUGUUGUAUAACAAACAGCCUGGUGAUGCAGCCAAUCCCACUGAGAUAAAUGUUAUUGAUAGGCAGAUUUGGCACGACACGAGAGAGGCUCCGGAUAAUGAUAUACAUGUUUUGUUGAUGACGUUGAUGCGGAAGUUUUUUAGCGAGUUAGGUAUUUCGUUAGUUUAGCUUUAUAUGUAGUUUAUUUAUACAAUUAACGUAGUUUGUUAUGUAUUCAACAAAUAAUUGUAAUUUGACGGGUUUAUUUCCGAAUUGAAUGUGUAUUGGUUUGGUUUGAUUUGA